UCGGUCUUAGCAGAUCCCUUUCUCUCCUUGCCCCCUCCCAACCAACCAGUUGGAAAACGGCAGUUAAACCAGGCCAGCAAGAUAUUCCUAGCGCUUUAGAAUUGUUAAUUGUUGUUUUGGUUGUUUGUGUAGAGGCAAAUCAGAGGGAGAGAAGAUGCCCACAAGUGAAGUAGGAAAAGGAGGGAGACAAAAAGGAGGGAAAAGAAAGAAUAAAGAAGGCCAGAUCUUCCUUUCUGGGACUCCACAGCUUGGGCUCCUGAAGGGACAUGAAAUCUCAACCAGCAAACACAGAGGGAAUGGAGGAGUGAAAGAAGCCUUCCUAUUCACUUCCAGGAAAUACAUGUGCUAACUCACAAGCAUGCCUGUGCCCAGACAUUUAAUGUCUCUUCAAAAGGAGGGAAGAAAGCCUUUCGCCAGGUGAGGCAAAAGUCCUCCCUUUGUCCCUGAGCCUCACAAAAGUGUCCUGGACAAAAAGUAAGAAAAUGGAACUCAGGUCUCUUUC
Phascolarctos cinereus (koala) is the source of this 502-nucleotide non-coding RNA. Lineage: Eukaryota; Metazoa; Chordata; Mammalia; Diprotodontia; Phascolarctidae. The record is from RefSeq and is a predicted model, not a curated record.